CUGCUACCAACAGUUUAAAGUGUCAAACAACAACAAACAAACUUUUAAACUUCUCGAAACCAUUUUCUCUGGGGACAGGUGGUCAUGGGAUCAUCAUAUCAUCGUGGUGCAACGAAAUUUUCGUUGCAAUAGCCAAAAUGGCUAGUUAGUGCAACGAAAUAUUUCGUUGCAAUAGAUUUCACCGCUGAUACCAAGAGGCUACUGGGGUUGUUGAUUGAAGAUGUCCGAUUCACAAGAGAUUGCAGUGUUAACAGCAAUAUAUCUCUUCAAGCCACUGUUCCAAACCCAGUUGAAACAAAUAGAGUCAAUCUGCUUGAAAAAAUCUUACCCAUUCUGACAUCAUUUGUUCAGUUUAUGUGUGUCUCCAAAAGCAAUGUGACUAUAGUAGCCCAGUUGAACAACAAGUUGGUCCAUGCUUUUGUUAACAAUCUGAGUUUAGACGGCAGCAUUUUACCACGCUCACAGAUUGCACGCUAAGGUCUGAUAGAUGUGUUUUCAUGUCAAAUUCUUCAGACCGUAGCUUCUACUGAAAGAGAUGGAAAGGUCAACCAGCAAUCACAAUUUGUCGAAUCACGAACGAAAACUUGGCAGCCGUGUUUAGCAGAGUUUUCAGUUGGAGUUCAAACAGAAAUUCACGUUGACCCAGUUUUACCGGCCAUCACGAUGAUUCACGAGCAAUGGUCAGCGGACAUCCAAGAACUAGUUUCGAGUUGAAUUUGCCACGCUGCGCAUUACUUUUUGACGGACAUUCCAUCAUUGAAGCUGAAGGAUUAAAUAUUAGCUAGCUGAUAACGAUCUUGAUCUUAAACAGGAAAGAAUCAGUUUCGAUUGCGAGGCUGCCACAAACAAAUGUGGACUAGUCAUCAGCAUUGCGCGUUUGCUUCCCCUACCGUUACCAGUUUUCCGAAGCCUGCCAACAGGAGAUGGUGAGCGUCUUCAAGUGGCUAAAAUCGCUGCACAAAAAGCCUCGGCUUCCUGGACAAAUAGAGCCACUUUAUCGUGACGUUCGUCUGUCAGUUGCACUAUUUUCUAUGGUGCUUUGUGACGACCCAUUUGAAGUCAAGCUCCGUGAUAACUACGAAUUGCGCGAAGAUGAAUUUCAUGAGAGUCUCAAACGUAAGCGUACGUUGGACGCUAAAAUUGAAGAACUCCGAAGAACGCACCCACCUCUGACGCAAGGUUAAAUGAGGCCAUGAAAGUAGCCCCACCUGGUAGGGAUGUGCGAAAGGUUUUGCUGAAAGCCAUCGAAGAGACCGAAAGUGCCCAUCAACGGCUCCCUGGAACUUCCACCCUGGCCUUAAUGGAAACAUCUUCUGACACCAUCCAAGACUGCUGCAGCAGCGGAGUUGGUUCCAGUUCGACCUCCACUUCCGAACGAGGUUAACCCCCUUUGCUGGGCACCACUGUUCGUUUGACCGUGCCUCUAGUGAAAUAAUUGUUAAGAUAUUUAGUUGAAUGUAAUUUUCGUCUUAUAACUUACCGUAAAUCUUGUAAUUGGCGUGCUUCGUUCUUCGAGAUAAUUUGUUUUCUUCAUCUGCUUUGGCGUCGGAUCAAAUUCUCAGUAGACGUCUUAUAACUGAAAUUCUAUCAAUUUUAGAACCAGCUCUUGAUGAUUAUUAACUUAUUGGCGAUUCAAUCAAAUAAUGAAAUUUUUAAAAGGUAUCUUAUAUUAAAAAAGCGUGACGGUUUAUAGAAACAAAAUGUUUUCAUUAAGUGACAUGUAAAAGAAAUCAAUGAAAUUAUAGAACUGAGUCGCAUGGACUAGGGUGUAGUUAUUCUCAGCA
This 1784-nucleotide long non-coding RNA is filed under the name Daphnia pulex (common water flea). RNAcentral's name for it is "uncharacterized LOC124189863, transcript variant X2". Lineage: Eukaryota; Metazoa; Arthropoda; Branchiopoda; Diplostraca; Daphniidae. The record is from RNAcentral.